UAAUACACUGGUCUUGUAAACCAGAAAUGAGCACCCUUCCUAGGGCACCCCA
RNAcentral lists this small RNA (52 nucleotides) under Macaca mulatta (Rhesus monkey). RNAcentral describes it as "RNA unclassified 3". Lineage: Eukaryota; Metazoa; Chordata; Mammalia; Primates; Cercopithecidae. The record is from RNAcentral.